GGUGCUAUAGUGUAGUGGUCAUCACUCGGGAUUUUGAUAUACUUGGUUUAUUUGCCACUUUCCCGAAACCCAGGUUCGAACCCUGGUAGCACCU
This 94-nucleotide transfer RNA is filed under the name Moniliophthora perniciosa FA553. It matches the Rfam family "tRNA". From Rfam's summary of the family: Transfer RNA (tRNA) molecules are approximately 80 nucleotides in length. The record is from Rfam by way of RNAcentral. Lineage: Eukaryota; Fungi; Basidiomycota; Agaricomycetes; Agaricales; Marasmiaceae.